GCUUCAUUGUCGAGAGGGAAACAGCCCAGACCAUCAACUAAGGCCCCUAAGCGUGUGCUAAGUGGGAAAGGAUGUGGAGUUGCUGAGACAACCAGGAGGUUGGCUUAGAAGCAGCCAUCCUUGAAAGAGUGCGUAAUAGCUCACUGGUCAAGUGAUUCUGCGCCGAUAAUGUAGCGGGGCUCAAGUACACCGCCGAAGUUGUGGCAAUGAUCUUUUUGGAUUGUUGGGUAGGGGAGCGUCGUGUAGCCAGUGAAGCUGCGGUGUAAACCAGUGGUGGAGGCUAUGCGAGUGAGAAUGCAGGCAUGAGUAGCGAAAGAUGAGUGAGAAACUCAUCCGCCGGAUGAUCAAGGGUUCCAGGGUCAAGUUAAUCUGCCCUGGGUUAGUCGGGGCCUAAGGCGAGGCCGACAGGCGUAGUCGAUGGAUAACGGGUUGAUAUUCCCGUACCGGUGAAAAACCGCCCAUACUGAUAUUGUGAUGCUAACCAUGCGAAGCAUGAUGUGCAGGCUUUUGUUUGUGUGUUGUGUGGGUUGUGGGACCCGAUCUUUGGAGGUAAACGUAUUAACAGGUGUGACGCAGGAAGGUAGCCAAGCCACGCGAUGGUUGUCGUGGUCUAAGCGUGUAGGGUUGUCGGUUGUUAAAUGCGCCGGCUGUGUGCCUGAGACGUGAUGGGACCCCGUUUUUGGGGGAUUUGGUGAUCCUAUGCUGCCGAGAAAAGCAUCGGCGUGAGGUUUUAGCCGCCCGUACCCUAAACCGACACAGGUGAUCAGGUAGAGCAUACCAAGGCGAUCGGGAGAACUAUGGUUAAGGAACUCGGCAAAAUUGCCCCGUAACUUCGGGAGAAGGGGUGCCGGUUUCGGUGAAGGGAUUUACUCCCCGAGCUAAGAUCGGUCACAGUAAAUAGGUCCAAGCGACUGUUUAUCAAAAACACAGGACUCUGCUGAAGUCGUAAGACGACGUAUAGGGUCUGACGCCUGCCCGGUGCCGGAAGGUCACGAGGAGUUGUUAGCAUUAGCGAAGCAGCGAAUCUAAGCCCCGGUAAACGGCGGCCGUAACUAUAACGGUCCUAAGGUAGCGAAAUUCCUUGUCGGGUAAGUUCCGACCUGCACGAAAGGCGUAAC
This 1118-nucleotide ribosomal RNA is filed under the name Actinomyces graevenitzii. RNAcentral's name for it is "partial 23S ribosomal RNA". It matches the Rfam family "Bacterial large subunit ribosomal RNA", at positions 1002 to 2005 of the family's 2925-position model. The record is from RNAcentral. Lineage: Bacteria; Bacillati; Actinomycetota; Actinomycetes; Actinomycetales; Actinomycetaceae.